UUUUUUUCAGCAUGUGAACGCCUACCUCACCUUCCACUUCGCUGAGAUCAGGGGAAAGCAACUGUCAGUGCCUCUUGAAGGACAGAUGGAUAGAAGGACAUUCUGCUUUUGGUGGGGAAAGGCAAAGCUGACAAGGGAAAUCCAACACCUUAGUUGAAGAGACAUUGGCCAUAAGUAGGAGGACUUCUCCUUGGGAUUUUCCCUUUGGACUUCUCCUUGGGACUUCUGGCUUGGAGAGAUUCCUGCUUUGUUGGCACUGUGAGGAGACCCUCUGCUCAUUGGCACUUCAGUGGGACCCUCCCUUCAGCAUGAGUUCUUUGGAAAAACUCUUUUCUUUGGAUCCUGCAUCGUCUUGCUGGUGAGAGACUUGGACUUCCACAUGGAGAAUGAAACUUUGUCAGGGAACUAGCUGAAUUUCAUUGGAUCAGCACUUAGGGUAGACUAAGCAACUCCUUACCUCUUUUCCUCCUCCAUUUCAUAUGUCACCUCCUUCUCUUCCUCAUUAUAAACAAAAGCUAACAGUUGUUUGGGAUUUUUUCUGGUUUAGAGAUAAUAUUUUGAAUUCGGCAACCACAACAUUGAAUGUAUAACUCUUUUAUUUAGGCAAAACCCCAAUUUUACUCUUACAGGGCCUUUAAGCAGUCACUACUUGGAAUUUUGCAAAUACU
Molecule: long non-coding RNA, 668 nt
Filed under: Monodelphis domestica (gray short-tailed opossum)
Lineage: Eukaryota; Metazoa; Chordata; Mammalia; Didelphimorphia; Didelphidae
Description: lncRNA (ENSMODG00000048408.1)
Source: RNAcentral